Aegilops tauschii subsp. strangulata is the source of this 3385-nucleotide non-coding RNA. NCBI's taxonomy places the organism in Eukaryota, Viridiplantae, Streptophyta, Magnoliopsida, Poales, Poaceae. The record is from RefSeq and is a predicted model, not a curated record.
CCCCCCCCCCCCCCCCCCACUUUUCUCUCAGCAGGAGCCCGCCGCCAUGGACGCCUCUGCCUCACGCUACCCACCGGAUCUGGUUCUCCAGGGCGGGAUCCGCCCGUUCCCGGCCUUCACUCACCCGCUCGCCAACCGCCGGAGUCCCAAGUCCCGCCGGCGCCGUGACCCGCCGCCAGGAGCUCGUGUUCAAGCCGCGACGACUGCCUCCUCCGCACAGCACCCCGCGCGUCCAAAUCCCUCCUCCUCCUCUGGUUUUACGAGACCUUGCGGCAUUGUUUUUGCCACCGUUCCUUUCUUUGGUCGAUUCGUGUACGCCUCAUCCUCCUGACCUCUGUUUGAGGUUUAUAGUUUGGUUCCUUGUUGAAAUCAUUAGUUUGUACCUAUAUGAACUGGUUAGAUUGAGCGUAAAUUCAUGAUGUGGGAUUAUUGCUGGUCGAACCGUACGGGGAAAGAUCAAGACGAAGGGAUGAAAAAAAGUCACGUUUGUUUCUGUUACCCAUUUUUUUUUUAUGCUCUCAGGAACAGGCCAUUAGCCCUGGAUGUGGCCCAGGGAGUUUGGCGGGGAAGGGAGCAGGUGCGAUCGUUCGUUGCACCCGCGUGGUUCCUCCAAUUAGUACCACCUCGUGUAUCUCUACUCCUAAUGGAGCAGUUGGUGAAUAGUCCGCGCGGUUUAUUUUUGCUGGUUUAUUUUCGUCAUCCUCCAACCACCGUUUUUUUCGUCAUCAUCCCAUCUGUGCCAAAAAACCUUUGCCAAAAAUUGGAAGAAGAACGAACGGAAAAAACCGGACGAAGCGGGAGCGAGCCCCCUCGCAGGAACAAGAGAUCCAGGCCCCCUCCCACGAGCAAAAAACCGGAGGAGGCUGCCCUCAAUCUAAUCGCUACAGCGAUGGGAACCACGCCCCAGCUGCCAUCGCCGAUCUAUUCGCUACGUGGAGGAUCCCUUUGCCGGCGCCGAGGUGCCAGAGAAGCCGCCGCCGAGUUGUUAGAGGAGCCGCCGCCGCCGUGGGGCCGCCGCAGCCGAGGUCCUCCAUCGCCACCCCGGCCCCGGCCAUCCAGGUGCCGCCGACCCACCCACGCCGCCGCCCCACGCGCGUGGUCUGCCCCUCCUCGCCUCCAUGCGCCGCUGCCGCCCACGCACGCCAUCUGCCCCUGCAAACCUCCACGUGUCGCCGAUGAGUUCGUCGUUGCCGAUGGGAUCGCCGCAAGGUGAGUUGAAUCAACCUAGCACAGAACGCGGUGAUUGGGAGAUGGGAUCUUCUGUUGCCCGGGGAUGUACAUCUGAUUUUAAGAAUAUUAUCUGAGUCCUGCGUCCCUUUAGCCUCCUCCCCUCCAACGUCUAUGGCUCUGUGAUGUGCCGUGUUAGUUACCCAUUUACACCGUCUUUUUUUCCCGAGAUUGAUGCGGUGUUUGUUCUCCGUAUCGUGCAUGAGGAGGGAGAAGCACAGGGAGAAAGGGGACCAUGGGCGAUGCUAUUGUGCACUGAUAUGUGAGAGGAUGGAUAUCUAAUAAUCACUUCAUUUUUCCUGUUAAACAAAAUCAGCCAACCAUAUUUAACAAAAUCCCAAUACUAAUUGUUGCAUGAUUUGGAUUAAUUAUCAGUGGUCUGGCAUUUUGUAUGCCUACAGAUUGUUCCUUUUUGGGUUGCACCUUCAUUGUAGAUGAUACGAGGUACGUGUUUUAUCUUUCUCUCUCAGUUUUGAACAAUGGGCAGGUUUGAAAAUAAUGUUCUGUCAGUCAAAUUUGUUGGCAUGAGCAUGAGGCACAUCCAUAGCAAUGAUUUGGAUCUGUCAUUGGUCGUCAACUGAAAUAGUCACUAGGCUCCCUUGUGUAGUUUCAAGUAGUCAGAGGGCCCUUUGUAUACUCAAUAAUGUUUACGUUGCAAUAAUUGGUCAAAAAUGGACCUGGAUGUUACACACAAGUAGGAAUAUAUAUUUACCAAAUAUGACCUCAGCUUGUAAACAGUUGAAAAGGGAGCAAUGGCAGCGUCUAAUAUUAGGUUUCCUCCCUUGAGCUUGAUAUACAUUGUUAGUAUAUAUACUCAUGUGUGUUUUCUCCUGCAGAUUGGUAGACUAAUAUAUGUCCAACCAGUGAAAGAAAAUAACAUAAAUGAAUUCUGAGCUUUCUUGCAAUAUUCACCCGCUUGCCGUUGUUUCGUAUAUGUACAUAUAAAAUCAGGUGUUACAAAAGAAGGUUGAUGAAGAUUAUAUUAUCUAAUCAGCAACUGAUCUGGUACAAUAAAGAAGCAGCAAAUGAGCUAGAAAAAAUCAGUCUGGAGAUGAAUAAAUCCGGCAUCUUGAUGUUUCAUAUCUAUUGGUUCCUUGUUUGGCAGCCUAUGUUGGUAGAUGUGAGAGCUCCAAAUAUGGAAGCAGCCAGCGUGCGAAAGAUUAAAGGAUGCAUUGCUACAGUGAAAACAUUCAGUGGGCGACCAACAACCAGAAUGUCAUUGCUUUUAUCAUGGCAUCCAACACUUGCAGAUGUGACAUAAAAGGGGGUUCUGAAGCUGAUGAACUUGGAUGGCCUGACAGUCUACCAUACCAACGACCAUCUCCAAGUACACGAACUUGAAAACUUUCUAAGAUUCGUACACACCUUCAGGUAAAGAUCAGAAAGCGGACAAUGUUUCUAUUAUGUUUCAGGAAAAAUUUGGAUCUUUUUGGUCGGUUAUUGCAACCAUCUGUCUGAAUGAGUAUAAAAACAAUGCUAUGAGGACAAAGAGGAGAUAAAAGGAGUAUUGGAAAGCUUAAAACCAGCCCCCCGAAACCACUCUGCCUGGAGAAAGAAGACAAUAUCUGGCAUGAUCCGAUCAAUCAGUGAUAGAUCAAAUAGCUUAUUCCGCAUUGUCAUACACAAUGCGGUAUAAUUAGAAAAAUACACAAUGCCAUCUUUUCCUGUGAGCCCGAGUCCAUUAUCUUGCCCUGUGGCAAAGAAAUAUAUUUCAAGUUUCUUGGGUGCGUCUGUUAGCUGCUAAGGUGGAUUUAAUUAGGUAGCUUAUUGAUCUCAAGAACUCUUCAAUCUCAUAUGGCUGUCGCCCUUUCCAGCCGACAUAGAAAGAAAAACUCAAUGGUGAUCCGAACAUCUAGAGCCACUUCUAAUCUAUGGGAGCUCAAUUCUAUUUUUUAACAAGAAUGUGAGUUUGGAUGCAGUCUUCAGAUGAAUCAAGCCUGAGAUCCAUAGGCGUCGUUGGCUAAUUAGCUGUUGAGUUCCAAAGAUGCAAAGUAUUUUGUACCUUCCAUAUGGAAAUACUUGUCACAGAAAUGGACAAAAAUGGAUGUAUCUAGAACUAAAAUAUGUCUAGAUACAUCCAUUUCUCCUACAAUAAUUCCGGACGGAGAGAGUAUGUUUCAUGAAAGAAUAUUAACGGAGACAACAACUUAUGAUAAUU